ACGAAGGGGGCUAGCGUUGCUCGGAAUCACUGGGCGUAAAGCGCACGUAGGCGGAUCAUUAAGUCGGGGGUGAAAUCCUGGAGCUCAACUCCAGAACUGCCUUCGAUACUGAAGAUCUUGAGUCCGGGAGAGGUGAGUGGAACUGCGAGUGUAGAGGUGAAAUUCGUAGAUAUUCGCAAGAGCACCAGUGGCGAAGGCGGCUCACUGGCCCGGUACUGACGCUGAUGUGCGAAAGCGUGGGGAGCAAACAGGA
RNAcentral lists this ribosomal RNA (253 nucleotides) under uncultured prokaryote. RNAcentral describes it as "partial 16S ribosomal RNA". It matches the Rfam family "Bacterial small subunit ribosomal RNA", at positions 525 to 777 of the family's 1533-position model. The record is from RNAcentral.